Oncorhynchus tshawytscha (Chinook salmon) is the source of this 414-nucleotide long non-coding RNA. The record is from Ensembl. NCBI's taxonomy places the organism in Eukaryota, Metazoa, Chordata, Actinopteri, Salmoniformes, Salmonidae.
GUGGAGGGGGGAAUGAGAGUUCACCUCAUUUAGUAACAAUGUUAUGAGAAGUCUGGAAAUGACAGUUACUAUGGACUUCACCUUUGUGACAGCCCCUCCCUGCUCUGUCUACUGGAAUUGUUUUUCCAGGCCCACCUCCCCUCCUGUGUCAUCGAUGGCCAUCCGGUGUACAGGGUGAGACGCCUCCUGAGUGUUCGACCACGGGGCAGGGGUUUCCAGUACCUGGUUAACUGGGAGCAUUAUGGGCCAGAGGAGAGGUGUUGGGUCCCUGCUAAGGACAUCCUUGACCCGGCUCUCAUUGCCAACUUUCACCGCCGGCAUCCCCAGCCUGCCUGCCGCCCUGUACCGUUUGGAAGCUGACCUGGUUAUGAACUCUUGCCUGUCCCCGACCUGCCUCUUGCCUGACCCUCGUUG